UGGGGAAUAUUGCACAAUGGGCGAAAGCCUGAUGCAGCGACGCCGCGUGUAGGAUGAAGGUUUUCGGAUUGUAAACUCCUGUUAAGUGGGAAGAAAGACCGCUUUCUAAUAAAAAGCGGGGAUGACGGUACCACUAGAGAAAGCACCGGCAAACUUCGUGCCAGCAGCCGCGGUAAUACGAAGGGUGCGAGCGUUAUUCGGAAUAACUGGGCGUAAAGAGUUUGAAGGCGGUUGUUUAAGUCAGUUGUUAAAUUCCCCGGCUUAACUGGGGAUCGGCAGUUGAUACUGGACGACUAGAGUGUGGGAGAGAAGGGUAGAAUUCUCGGAGUAGCGGUAAAAUGCGUAGAUCUCGAGAGGAAUACCGGUUGCGAAGGCGGCCCUUUGGCCCACAACUGACGCUUAAGAACGAAAGCGUGGGGAGCAAACAGG
RNAcentral lists this ribosomal RNA (429 nucleotides) under uncultured bacterium. RNAcentral's name for it is "bacterial SSU rRNA". It matches the Rfam family "Bacterial small subunit ribosomal RNA", at positions 355 to 776 of the family's 1533-position model. The record is from RNAcentral.